UGUGUGAGCACGAGUGCUCACCACGACACACUCGCACUCAGCUGGUUUUGAUGCAGGGAUGGGAUCAUGGGACAAGUCUUGGACGGCUGCGAACGCGCUGUAGACUCCGGCGGUCUGCUGCCUCGCUCUGUGGGUGGGAACUCGCUGCCGACUCUUCUGCUUCCCAAUAAAGCAGCACUACACUUGGACAAGUAGGCCCGACCUUGUGGCCCCCGCGACGCAGUGGUCCAACGGCGCCUGCCGGCUGAGCCCAAAACACCAUUUCUGCACCAGAUGUAUUCCUAAGAUUUGAUAUGGCAAACUAAUCCUGGAGGCCCUCGCAUUGUUCUUCAUCUCGGUGCUUGGAGCUGAUUGCAUCUUUGUAAUGGAGGCCUUGAAUAAGUAAACAGUGAAUGCCUGUUCAUAAUGUCAGCCGGCUUUGUCAGGGCGACGCAGACAUUUAAAGAGCUUCUUAUCGUGUUGAUUUAAGCAAUUAAACAUGAAGUUUCUCUCUGCAAGCUC
Platichthys flesus (European flounder) is the source of this 501-nucleotide long non-coding RNA. RefSeq lists it as uncharacterized. The record is from RefSeq and is a predicted model, not a curated record. Lineage: Eukaryota; Metazoa; Chordata; Actinopteri; Pleuronectiformes; Pleuronectidae. The transcript has 2 exons.